UAUCGAGAUCGAUAAAUUUUUUUUAGGUGCAUCUUAUUCAUAACAGCAAAUCUGAACCUACUGUAGCCAACACACAUAGUAAGGAUCUGAAUGGCUAGGGACCAAGAGAACAUGUUAUCAAACUCAGUAGUCUCAUGGUGAAUAGUCGAUGACACUGUAGAUCAAAGGAUCACUCAUACCACUGCAUUAUCAAGAUAAUCACUGAUGAGUGAGUAGACAUCCAAG
RNAcentral lists this long non-coding RNA (225 nucleotides) under Elaeis guineensis (African oil palm). RNAcentral's name for it is "long non-coding RNA (EGUI_LNC075622)". Lineage: Eukaryota; Viridiplantae; Streptophyta; Magnoliopsida; Arecales; Arecaceae. The record is from RNAcentral.